This 390-nucleotide ribosomal RNA is filed under the name Ruditapes sp. RNAcentral describes it as "partial small subunit ribosomal RNA". It matches the Rfam family "Eukaryotic small subunit ribosomal RNA", at positions 587 to 975 of the family's 1831-position model. Lineage: Eukaryota; Metazoa; Mollusca; Bivalvia; Venerida; Veneridae. The record is from RNAcentral.
AGCUCCAAUAGCGUAUAUUAAAGUUGCUGCAGUUAAAAAGCUCGUAGUUGAAUCUCGGGUGCAGGCUUGCGGUCCGUCUCGCGGCGGUCACUGCUCGUCCUGGCCUCCACGCCGGCGUACCGUCCCUUGGUGCUCUUGACUGAGUGUCUCGGGCGGCCGGAACGUUUACUUUGAAGAAAUUAGAGUGCUCAAAGCAGGCCUUGGCCGCCUGCAUAAUGGUGCAUGGAAUAAUGGAAUAGGACCUCGGUUCUAUUUUGUUGGUUUUCGGAGCUCGAGGUAAUGAUUAACAGGGACUGACGGGGGCAUUCGUAUUGCGGCGCUAGAGGUGAAAUUCUUAGACCGUCGCAAGACGAACUACAGCGAAAGCAUUUGCCAAGCAUGUUUUCAUUA